CACGAGUUGAGACUCGUAGCAGAUAGCUCAGUAACACGUGGCCAAACUGCCCUAUAGACGGCGAUAACCUCGGGAAACUGAGGCUAAUAGCCGAUACCGUUCACGACCUGGAGUGGUGUGAACGCGAAACGUUCAGGCGCUAUAGGAUGUGGCUGCGGCCGAUUAGGUAGACGGUGGGGUAACGGCCCACCGUGCCCAUAAUCGGUACGGGUUGUGAGAGCAAGAGCCCGGAGACGGUAUCUGAGACAAGAUACCGGGCCCUACGGGGCGCAGCAGGCGCGAAACCUUUACACUGCACGCGAGUGCGAUAAGGGGACUCCGAGUGCGAGGGCAUAUAGUCCUCGCUUUUCACCACCGUAAGGUGGUGGUGGAAUAAGUGCUGGGCAAGACCGGUGCCAGCCGCCGCGGUAAUACCGGCAGCACGAGUGAUGACCGCUAUUAUUGGGCCUAAAGCGUCCGUAGCUGGCCACGCAAGUCUAUCGGGAAAUCUGCGCGCUUAACGCGCAGGCGUCCGGUGGAAACUGUGUGGCUUGGGACCGGAAGACCAGAGGGGUACGUCCGGGGUAGGAGUGAAAUCCCGUAAUCCUGGACGGACCACCGGUGGCGAAAGCGCCUCUGGAAGACGGAUCCGACGGUGAGGGACGAAAGCUCGGGUCACGAACCGGAUUAGAUACCCGGGUAGUCCGAGCUGUAAACGAUGUCUGCUAGGUGUGGCACAGGCUACGAGCCUGUGCUGUGCCGUA
Molecule: ribosomal RNA, 743 nt
Filed under: Haloterrigena sp. GuC2
Lineage: Archaea; Methanobacteriati; Methanobacteriota; Halobacteria; Halobacteriales; Natrialbaceae
Description: bacterial SSU rRNA
Rfam family: Archaeal small subunit ribosomal RNA
Source: RNAcentral